This 69-nucleotide transfer RNA is filed under the name marine eukaryotic metagenome. It matches the Rfam family "tRNA". Rfam says of the family: Transfer RNA (tRNA) molecules are approximately 80 nucleotides in length. Their secondary structure includes four short double-helical elements and three loops (D, anti-codon, and T loops). The record is from RNAcentral.
CGCUGUAGCUCAGUUGGUAGAGCAACGCAUUCGUAAUGCGUAGGUCGUGUGUUCGAGUCACAUCAGCGG